RNAcentral lists this ribosomal RNA (1251 nucleotides) under metagenome. Its description in RNAcentral is "bacterial SSU rRNA". It matches the Rfam family "Bacterial small subunit ribosomal RNA", at positions 256 to 1498 of the family's 1533-position model. The record is from RNAcentral.
GGUAAAGGCCUACCAAGACUUCGAUGGUUAGCUGGUCUGAGAGGAUGAUCAGCCACACUGGAACUGACACACGGUCCAGACUCCUACGGGAGGCAGCAGUGAGGAAUUUUGCGCAAUGGGGGAAACCCUGACGCAGCAACGCCGCGUGAGUGAAGAAGGCCCUUGGGUCGUAAAGCUCUGUCGACAGGGAAGAAAUUGACAUCAUCCAAUAGGUGUUGUUAUUGACGGUACCUGUAGAGGAAGCACCGGCUAACUCCGUGCCAGCAGCCGCGGUAAUACGGGGGGUGCAAGCGUUAUUCGGAAUUAUUGGGCGUAAAGGGCGCGUAGGCGGUCUUGUCGGUCAGGUGUGAAAGCCCAGGGCUCAACCCUGGACGUGCAUUUGAGACAGCAAGACUUGAGUACGGGAGAGGAGAGCGGAAUUCCUGGUGUAGAGGUGAAAUUCGUAGAUAUCAGGAGGAACACCGAUGGCGAAGGCAGCUCUCUGGACCGAUAUUGACGCUGAGGCGCGAAGGCGUGGGUAGCGAACGGGAUUAGAUACCCCGGUAGUCCACGCAGUAAACGUUGUACACUCGGUGUGCCGGAUAUUAAAAUCUGGUGUGCCCAAGUUAACACAUUAAGUGUACCGCCUGGGGAGUACGGUCGCAAGACUAAAACUCAAAGGAAUUGACGGGGGCCCGCACAAGCGGUGGAGCAUGUGGUUUAAUUCGACAACGCGAAGAACCUUACCUGGAUUUGACAUCCUGUGAAUAUCUUGUAAUUGAGAUAGUGCCUUCGGGAGCACAGUGGCAGGUGCUGCAUGGCUGUCGUCAGCUCGUGUCGUGAGAUGUUUGGUUAAGUCCAGCAACGAGCGCAACCCUUAUCUUCAGUUGCCAGCGCGUAAUGGCGGGAACUCUGGAGAGACUGCCCGGGUUAACCGGGAGGAAGGCGGGGAUGACGUCAAGUCCUCAUGGCCCUUAUAUCCAGGGCUACACACGUGCUACAAUGGUAAAUACAGAGGGCAGCGAGCCAGCGAUGGUGAGCGAAUCCCUAAAGUUUAUCUCAGUCCGGAUUGGAGUCUGCAACUCGACUCCAUGAAGUUGGAAUCGCUAGUAAUCGUGGAUCAGCAUGCCACGGUGAAUAUGUUCCCGGGCCUUGUACACACCGCCCGUCACACCAUGGGAGUUGAUUAUACCCGACGUCGCUGGGCUAACCCUUCGGGGGGGCAGGCGCCUAAGGUAUGGUUGAUAACUGGGGUGAAGUCGUAACAAGGUA